GAUGAACGCUGGCUACAGGCUUAACACAUGCAAGUCGAGGGGAAACGCCGGGGAAGCUUGCUUCCCCGGGCGUCGACCGGCGCACGGGUGAGUAACGCGUAUCCAACCUGCCUCUGACUGAGGGAUAACCCGUCGAAAGUCGGCCUAAUACCUCAUGGCAUCGUCUGCGGGCAUCCAACGACGACUAAAGAUUUCAUCUGUCAUAGAUGGGGAUGCGUCUGAUUAGCUUGUUGGCGGGGUAACGGCCCACCAAGGCGACGAUCAGUAGGGGUUCUGAGAGGAAGGUCCCCCACAUUGGAACUGAGACACAGUCCAAACUCCUACGGGAGGCAGCAGUGAGGAAGACUGGUCAAUGGGCGAGAGCCUGAACCAGCCAAGUAGCGUGCAGGAGGACGGCCCUAUGGGUUGUAAACUGCUUUUAGGCGGGGAUAAAGUGAGGGACGUGUCCUUCAUUGCAGGUACCGCAUGAAUAAGAACCGGCUAAUUCCGUG
RNAcentral lists this ribosomal RNA (491 nucleotides) under uncultured bacterium. RNAcentral describes it as "partial 16S ribosomal RNA". It matches the Rfam family "Bacterial small subunit ribosomal RNA", at positions 28 to 507 of the family's 1533-position model. The record is from RNAcentral.